RNAcentral lists this ribosomal RNA (334 nucleotides) under uncultured bacterium. RNAcentral describes it as "bacterial SSU rRNA". It matches the Rfam family "Bacterial small subunit ribosomal RNA", at positions 18 to 344 of the family's 1533-position model. The record is from RNAcentral.
CAUGGCUCAGGACGAACGCUGGCGGCGUGCCUAAUACAUGCAAGUAGAACGCUGAAGGAGGAGCUUGCUCAUCUGGAUGAGUUGCGAACGGGUGAGUAACGCGUAGGUAACCUGCCUGGUAGCGGGGGAUAACUAUUGGAAACGAUAGCUAAUACCGCAUAAGAGUAGAUGUCGCAUGACAUUUGCUUAAAAGGUGCAAUUGCAUCACUACCAGAUGGACCUGCGUUGUAUUAGCUAGUUGGUGGGGUAACGGCUCACCAAGGCGACGAUACAUAGCCGACCUGAGAGGGUGGUCGGGCACACUGGGACUUAGACGCAGCCCCAGCUCCUACGG